Molecule: long non-coding RNA, 2151 nt
Organism: Juglans regia (Persian walnut)
Lineage: Eukaryota; Viridiplantae; Streptophyta; Magnoliopsida; Fagales; Juglandaceae
Exons: 3
Source: RefSeq, a predicted model, not a curated record
UGUAUGCUCUCGCUCUCCCUCUCCCUCGAAUAAUGAAUUCACAUUUUUCUUCGUCCCCGCUGCAAUAAUUCUAUUUUUGAAGGCUCUACACUAUAUAUGCACCAUCCACGGGCCCGUGCGAGAUUUCGAAUUUCGAUCAAUUUUCUCAGCGAGGUUUCGAGCUUUCUGAGGUUCUUCCGCACAUUUCACUAACUCUCUCUCUCACGAUUGCUCCGUUCAUUGCCUUAAAUUUAUUUUCCUACAAGGGAAAAAAGCCGUAGUUUCUGACGAAGAGGACGAGGUCGAAGAGGAGGACGACAGGGAGCCCGUUGACGUGGAUGCAGUCCGCGAGAUCGAUGACGAUGAAAAAGACGGUAUUCGCUUUCGGGUUGUUAUUUAGGGCUGAAACUUGGGAUUCUGGGUUUCAUUUGCGUUUUGUUUUGGUGAAUUCGCUGGGGUGGUUUACUGGAUUGAUUGGUGGGUUGGGGUUCCAAGUCCACAAAUUGCGGUCCGUUUGUUUGCAUGGAGAUUGGAGAGUAACAAUGGUUUCUGGUGAAGUUUUUUUUUCUUUCUUUAAUGGAGUAUGUUCGGUUGAUGAGAAUGCGGGAAAGGGAAAAUUUUUUUGUCUCGGGUUUGAAUUUUAUGCAAGUAUUAUUAGUCCCAGUCGUCAUAACUCCCACCGCUGGGAGCUUCAGCUGGGGGCUCCCGCUAGCGUAUUUUGGAAUUGAAUAGCUUCUGUCUUGAAUGAGUACAACUAACAAAAGAAUGAAAUCAGAUAUCUUAUCAUCGAGUGAAAGAUGGAUUGCGUGUUGAAGUGUCCACAGGCUUUAGAUUUUAUUGCUUAGAUGUUAUCAUCGAGGAAAAGAUGUCAUGUUUACCAUGAGCACUUGUUCCUCAUGAUGUUGCUUUGUAGAUUUGACCUUGGCUUCAAUGAAAUAAUAAUAAUUUUUUUCUGUGUUUACUGAUUGAAACCCUAGGUAAUGGAUCCAUAUGUUAAUCCCUUAGUGUCUCACUUAAAGUCGAUGCUAAGUUAUCGCAAGUUCAGGAGGGCACAAAAGUGGAAGUUGAUGAACUCAGGAUGAUCGAGUAAUCAGAGUAUACUAUGAGAAUAGUUUCUUGCUUUUGCAUCUCUCUCAUGAGCAUCCGGGCACAUUCAUCCUGACUUAUAUAAGGAGUACAAACUACAAACCAGCACCAUGAGUAUGUUGGCCUAUAUCCAAAGGGAUUGAAGUUCUGGAAAAGGAUGUUUGAGGACAUUGUUUGGCUCGUGACAUACUUUCAGAGACAUAUUGAUGAUCCUCAAUCGGCACACUCUCUCAGGUCAGUCGCUUCCAGGGUGCCGAUGCGAAGUCCUUCAACUGGGGGCAGUUCGGGGCAUCCAUGGGUAGUGGCUGGGGUGGUCCGACGAAGGAGAUAAUUGGAGAGGUCAGUCUUAUGACAGGGAUCGCGCUUCUACACCUGGUUCAAGAACAGGACAAAAUGAUCACAGAAAUGGCAGUGGCUGAGAUGGACAUCUCAGUGGGUUGCCUAGGCCAUAUGGUGGGCGUGGAGUUGUGGGCGUGGUCGAGGCUCAUUUAACAGUAGCAGAGAAAAUAAUUCCAGCAAUGAGAGACAGAAUUCCGGUUAUGAUGCUACUAAAUGGGAUUCAGAUUGCAAGGAUGGGGAAGAUGGUUGGGGCGAUUUUCCAAGUGCUAAAAUUCAGAAGUCACCUGGCAGGGAAGCUUUCCCAAGUGGUUGGGGCACCAGGGGAAGCGACAGGUGGUAGUAGUUGGGGUGGUGAUGGAGCUAGCGGUGGUGGCGGAGGAAAUUGGAGUGGUGCCAUUGCAAAUGAUGCUACUCCUGAUGACGGGAGUUUGGGUUGGGGAACGGCUCCUAAGAGAAGUUCUUCAGAGUCCCAAACCGGGAAUGGAUGGUCUGGAAGAAGUCGCGGUGGUUGGUGAACCGUGAAGCCCGAUAAACUCUAGUACAUCUUCCUUUUCAGGUCGCCCAUUUCCAUCCACAACUAGUAUCCACGUUUUCAAAUGGCAACCAUGGCGGCCGUUAAAGUCGGACCCAUUUUGGAACUUUCCUGGCCUCGAGUAAAUUAUGGAAUUGAUUGUAAUGAUCAAUACUCGACGCUUUAUAUCUAGUUCAUUUAAAUUAUAAUUUCGUAGUAAAAUGAUCUUUUCGCAA